GGGCCGCGGUAAUUUGACCGUGCAAAGGUAGCAUAAUAGUUAGUUUUUUAAUUGAAAUCUUGUAUGAAUGGUUGGACAAAAGAAAAACUGUCUCUAUAAUUUUUAUUGAAUUUAACUUUUAAGUGAAAAGGCUUAAAUUAUUUAAAAAGACGAUAAGACCCUAUAAAGCUUUAUAAUUAAUUAUAUUUAAUUGAAUUAAAAAUAAUCAUUUAGUAUAAAAAAUUAUUUUGUUGGGGAGAUAGUAUUAUAAUUUAAAAUAACUGAAGAUAGUUAAUACAAUAAUUGGUGUAUGAAAUCAUAGUAGAUCCUAAUAUAUGGAUUAAAAGUUCAAGUUACUUUAGGGAUAACAGCGUUAUUUUUUUUGAGAGUUCAUAUCGAAAGAAAAGAUUGCGACCUCGAUGUUGAAUUAAAAUUUCUAAAUAAUUGUAGAAGUUAUUUGAGAAGGUCUGUUCGACCUUUAAAAUUUUA
RNAcentral lists this ribosomal RNA (468 nucleotides) under Arcotheres exiguus. RNAcentral's name for it is "partial large subunit ribosomal RNA". It matches the Rfam family "Bacterial large subunit ribosomal RNA", at positions 1928 to 2598 of the family's 2925-position model. The record is from RNAcentral. Lineage: Eukaryota; Metazoa; Arthropoda; Malacostraca; Decapoda; Pinnotheridae.